Molecule: long non-coding RNA, 2410 nt
Organism: Platichthys flesus (European flounder)
Lineage: Eukaryota; Metazoa; Chordata; Actinopteri; Pleuronectiformes; Pleuronectidae
Exons: 2
Source: RefSeq, a predicted model, not a curated record
CCAGGUCUGUUCACACCAGGUCUGUUCACACAGGUUCUGUUCACACCGGGUCAGUUCACACCAGGUCAGUUCACACCAGGUCAGUUCAAACAGGGUCAGUUUACACCAGGUCUUCUCACACCAGGUCAGUUCAGACCAGGUCAGUUUACACCAGGUCAGUUCACACCAGGUCUGUUCACACCGGGUCUCUUCACACCGGGUCUGUUCACACCAGGUCAGUUCACACCGGGUCUGUUCACACCUGAUCUGUUAAAUUAAACAUGUUUAUUUUCAUACUUUAGUCCCUUGUUGAUAAAUGAUGAUUCUCUAAAUAUAAAUUAGAAAGUUGUGUCCUGCUCCUCAUGGUCAUGGUCAUGUGACGAGCAGCUGAUGUCAGCGCCGGACGUUAAAGAUGUACCUGCGUUUAUCUCAGGCUGGAGGGAGGUCGGACAAAGAAAAGAUGGCUGAUGUCACAUGCUGCUAUUUAUACGAUGUAAGUUAUUUUUAUGAGUGACUUGCAUGAGGUGUGCGUGUGUGUUUAAGUGUUAGGUUGAUGUGUGUAAUAGCAUCUGCAUGAGUUUGAAUUCCUUCUCUGACCAGUGACUAUCUGUGAGACAUGAUCCAUGUGUGUGAGCGUGUGGUGAUAUUUACAGAUUUCAACACCUCCGGUCACAUGUCGCUCUCUGUGGCACUUUGACCACAAAUAACCACUGAACCACACGAGGUUGAACACAGUGGUACCUGAAAGGUGAGUAAAGUAAACGUACCUAAACUCGUUGGCAUAAAGAAGUAACGUGUCAUAUUUCCUGUGAGGCUGUAAAUGAAUGCAGGUGAUGACAUCAUCAAUCACCUGUCGCCGGUCAUGAUGACAUGAUGACAUACGAGGAUUCCAGAGGAGCGACAGCGUGGCUGCAGACGAGCUGCAGGUCAGAGGUCACGAGGAGGGUGGAGUCUGCAGUGUGUGUGACCUCUGAUACGUGUGCAUGUGUAGAGGACGGAGUGUGCACGGAGACGAUGAGAAUUUGAACUUUGGGGCAGAGACGAAGACGAAGACGAAGACGAGUUUUCUGUCGAUGUAAAAGUUCUGCAAAGUUAAAAAUACAAAAUUCUGUGAAGGGAGGAGCUCCUCCUGAACGUCAGAACCACACCUCCUCAGCUGCACGAUGUCAUGUGACCAGUUUCCAGGUUGGACGACGUGUUUUCUCCUAACGCCCUGAAAGGGGUUGACCAAUCGCAACAGAGAGCACCAGCCGACCAAUCAGAGCAGACUGGGCUUUAUUAGGAGGAGGGUCUUAAAGGGACAGGAGCUAGAAGAGUUUGAGACAGAGGCUGAAAAGAGGAGCUGCAGCGAUGGACAGUGAUGGACGUUAGGGCAUGAAAACAUUUUACAUUAACAUCAACAAAUGAUCAACCUGAAUAUGAGCAGAACCUGAGUUUCUCUCUUCUGCUGAGUUCAACUGUGAAUAAAGGAUCUUCAAUAAGGAGUCAAAUGUAAACCAGUGUGACCUGUGAAGCUGGAGGGCUGCCCCCUACAGGAUUCUGUGGAAUUACAUUCAUCUUUAAAUCCUCUGCUUAUUUCAGGCUGACGUCUCUCGGCUGCUUCUUCUGAUACAACACAAAUCAGAUGUGUGUGUGUGUGUGUGUGUGUAUGUGUGUGUGUGUGCGUGUGUGUGACUAAGUCACAGGUGUUUCUCAGGAAUAGAAAGAUGACAUAAUACUGUGACAGGCAGUGUGAUGACACAGAGGAGUGUGUGUGUGUCUGUAGAAUAUAAAGAUUUUGUGACAGGAAUUGUGUCAAAGUGCGAGAACAGGGUGGAUAAAGAAUCAUGUGUCAAUGCUUAGUUAUGUCUGUAUGCGUGUGUGUUUGUGUGUGUGUGUGUGUGUGUGUGUGUGUGUGUGUGUGUGUGUGUGUGUGUGUGUGUGUGUGUGUGUCUGUCUGUGUCCGUGUCCGUGUUUUAUGGCAGCAGGUGGGUGACAGCAUGUUGUAUGUAUGUCAAAUAUGCUGUUACUUCAACGUCAGGGUAACUUUGUCUGAGUAGGUCACUGUGUGAGUGUGUGUGUGUGUCUGUGUAUUUGUGUCUCCUCACAUGUCUAUUGACACUUGUGUCUUUGUUGAGUUUAUUUUGUGUCUUAUCAGCACAGUUUAGUGUCUUUAACACAUCUAAAGUGUGUGAUCUUAGAUAUCUGACGUGUUUGAAACAAUAACUUAAUAACAGACUUUGUAUUUUCAAACCUGUAAGUUUCUCUUUGUCGUAUCAGUUUCUCUGCUCGAGUCUUUAUAUAAAACUCCCAUGAUCCCACGCUGCUUUUUCCACAGCAACAAUAUCUAUGUAUUGUUUCUGUCGACUGUAAAUAAAGAUGGACGACAUGACAGCUCCCGAAAGCGAAGCCAGAUCAUCUGGAUCGCCCCCUGGUGGCUGGCUGAAGUACA